GAGCCAUGCGUUGAGCACAAAGCGAACUAUUCUUUCGCCUUUUACUAAAGAAUACCGUGUGCUCGUCGCUACAAGUGGCAUACGACUAUUUUUUAAAGGUGACUUUCCUUUUGGAAGGU
This is a small nuclear RNA of Gastrolobium bilobum, 119 nucleotides long. RefSeq annotates it as U5 spliceosomal RNA. The record is from RefSeq and is a predicted model, not a curated record. The transcript has a single exon. Lineage: Eukaryota; Viridiplantae; Streptophyta; Magnoliopsida; Fabales; Fabaceae.